Molecule: ribosomal RNA, 546 nt
Filed under: Fusarium sp.
Lineage: Eukaryota; Fungi; Ascomycota; Sordariomycetes; Hypocreales; Nectriaceae
Description: eukaryotic LSU rRNA
Rfam family: 5.8S ribosomal RNA (bases 192-345)
Source: RNAcentral
CGUAACAAGGUCUCCGUUGGUGAACCAGCGGAGGGAUCAUUACCGAGUUUACAACUCCCAAACCCCUGUGAACAUACCUAUACGUUGCCUCGGCGGAUCAGCCCGCGCCCCGUAAAACGGGACGGCCCGCCCGAGGACCCCUAAACUCUGUUUUUAGUGGAACUUCUGAGUAAAACAAACAAAUAAAUCAAAACUUUCAACAACGGAUCUCUUGGUUCUGGCAUCGAUGAAGAACGCAGCAAAAUGCGAUAAGUAAUGUGAAUUGCAGAAUUCAGUGAAUCAUCGAAUCUUUGAACGCACAUUGCGCCCGCCAGUAUUCUGGCGGGCAUGCCUGUUCGAGCGUCAUUUCAACCCUCAAGCUCAGCUUGGUGUUGGGACUCGCGGUAACCCGCGUUCCCCAAAUCGAUUGGCGGUCACGUCGAGCUUCCAUAGCGUAGUAAUCAUACACCUCGUUACUGGUAAUCGUCGCGGCCACGCCGUUAAACCCCAACUUCUGAAUGUUGACCUCGGAUCAGGUAGGAAUACCCGCUGAACUUAAGCAUAUCA